GCUGAUUUGAUCCGUAAUGGGUUACGGCGGUGGCUUCAAACCACUGGGGCUCUCGCGGGCCAGGAGCUCGAUUCUCCCUGAUUAGC
RNAcentral lists this transfer RNA (86 nucleotides) under Cavenderia fasciculata SH3. RNAcentral's name for it is "Dictyostelium fasciculatum SH3 Selenocysteine transfer RNA". It matches the Rfam family "Selenocysteine transfer RNA". The record is from Rfam by way of RNAcentral. Lineage: Eukaryota; Evosea; Eumycetozoa; Acytosteliales; Cavenderiaceae.